Molecule: ribosomal RNA, 244 nt
Filed under: uncultured bacterium
Lineage: Bacteria
Description: partial 16S ribosomal RNA
Rfam family: Bacterial small subunit ribosomal RNA
Source: RNAcentral
CCGACCGGCGCACGGGUGAGUAACGCGUAUGCAACUUACCCAUCAGAGGGGAGUAACCCGGCGAAAGUCGGACUAAUACCGCAUGAAGCAGGGGCCCCGCAUGGGGAUAUUUGCUAAAGAUUCAUCGCUGAUAGAUAGGCAUGCGUUCCAUUAGGCAGUUGGCGGGGUAACGGCCCACCAAACCGACGAUGGAUAGGGGUUCUGAGAGGAAGGUCCCCCACAUUGGUACUGAGACACGGACCAA